CAUUUUGUUGUUUGUUUACAAUAACUUCCGGGUAGAAAACUGCGCAUUACUAAUCAGGUCCUGUGUUGUUCCUGGUACUCUGAGUUGGCUCUGCGUGUUUCCUGCCCUUGGGGUUUUUUGCUGCCUGUGUCCCUGAGCUCCAUCCUGGAUAUGAGGUUUACUCACGGCGUUGAUGCCGGACAGCUGCUGAGAGAGCUGGAGGACGAUAGCGAUAAUGAUUGGCUGACGGUAGUUGGGGGAGCGGAAGAGUUCGGGGAUGGUCACUUUCUUUUCCAUGGCCAUCUUCAUCCCUUCCUCCUUCAUUUCCUGAAUGUCUUCUUCCACAUCUUCAGUGCCGCGCAGACGCACCAGGGCUACAGAGAGGAAAAGGCGGAUAAAUAGAGAGGAAGCUGAUGAGCAGGUAACGGGGGCUUUCGGGACAGAAGGGCAGCAUGAUACUCUGCACGAUGGCUGGCAGGAUGGUCAGAGCCAGCAGCACAGGCCACAGAGUGUCUGAGCCGAGCAGAGACUCCAGACCGAAGAUCUGAAAAC
This is a long non-coding RNA of Acanthopagrus latus (yellowfin seabream), 531 nucleotides long. RefSeq lists it as uncharacterized. NCBI's taxonomy places the organism in Eukaryota, Metazoa, Chordata, Actinopteri, Spariformes, Sparidae. The record is from RefSeq and is a predicted model, not a curated record. The transcript has 4 exons.